AGAAUGUGGCAGAGGAGGCAUCAUGUUCAGGAAGACUGUUGUUCUAGGACGCAGCUCCUCUCUCACACUCUGGGUGUGCUGACAUUGCAAUUUUCCAAAACGUGAGAAAUCUGGCUGCAUAAUAUGUGGUAGUGAAGGACUAUAGUUGUAUUCCUCCUUG
Small nuclear RNA from Accipiter nisus (Eurasian sparrowhawk), 160 nucleotides. Its record names the gene U1. It matches the Rfam family "U1 spliceosomal RNA". Rfam says of the family: U1 is a small nuclear RNA (snRNA) component of the spliceosome (involved in pre-mRNA splicing). Its 5' end forms complementary base pairs with the 5' splice junction, thus defining the 5' donor site of an intron. The record is from Ensembl. Lineage: Eukaryota; Metazoa; Chordata; Aves; Accipitriformes; Accipitridae.